This 1372-nucleotide ribosomal RNA is filed under the name uncultured bacterium. Its description in RNAcentral is "bacterial SSU rRNA". It matches the Rfam family "Bacterial small subunit ribosomal RNA", at positions 28 to 1381 of the family's 1533-position model. The record is from RNAcentral.
GAUGAACGCUGGCGGCGUGCCUAAUACAUGCAAGUCGAGCGAACAGACAAGGAGCUUGCUCCUUUGACGUUAGCGGCGGACGGGUGAGUAACACGUGGGUAACCUACCUAUAAGACUGGGAUAACUUCGGGAAACCGGAGCUAAUACCGGAUAAUAUUUCGAACCGCAUGGUUCGAUAGUGAAAGAUGGUUUUGCUAUCACUUAUAGAUGGACCCGCGCCGUAUUAGCUAGCUGGUAGGGUAACGGUUUACCAAGGCGACGAUACGUAGCCGACCUGAGAGGGUGAUCGGCCACACUGGAACUGAGACACGGUCCAGACUCCUACGGGAGGCAGCAGUAGGGAAUCUUCCGCAAUGGGCGAAAGCCUGACGGAGCAACGCCGCGUGAGUGAUGAAGGUCUUCGGAUCGUAAAACUCUGUUAUUAGGGAAGAACAUACGUGUAAGUAACUAUGCACGUCUUGACGGUACCUAAUCAGAAAGCCACGGCUAACUACGUGCCAGCAGCCGCGGUAAUACGUAGGUGGCAAGCGUUAUCCGGAAUUAUUGGGCGUAAAGCGCGCGUAGGCGGGUUUUUAAGUCUGAUGUGAAAGCCCACGGCUCAACCGUGGAGGGUCAUUGGAAACUGGAAAACUUGAGUGCAGAAGAGGAAAGUGGAAUUCCAUGUGUAGCGGUGAAAUGCGCAGAGAUAUGGAGGAACACCAGUGGCGAAGGCGACUUUCUGGUCUGUAACUGACGCUGAUGUGCGAAAGCGUGGGGAUCAAACAGGAUUAGAUACCCUGGUAGUCCACGCCGUAAACGAUGAGUGCUAAGUGUUAGGGGGUUUCCGCCCCUUAGUGCUGCAGCUAACGCAUUAAGCACUCCGCCUGGGGAGUACGACCGCAAGGUUGAAACUCAAAGGAAUUGACGGGGACCCGCACAAGCGGUGGAGCAUGUGGUUUAAUUCGAAGCAACGCGAAGAACCUUACCAAAUCUUGACAUCCUUUGACAACUCUAGAGAUAGAGCCUUCCCCUUCGGGGGACAAAGUGACAGGUGGUGCAUGGUUGUCGUCAGCUCGUGUCGUGAGAUGUUGGGUUAAGUCCCGCAACGAGCGCAACCCUUAAGCUUAGUCGCCAUCAUUAAGUUGGGCACUCUAAGUUGACUGCCGGUGACAAACCGGAGGAAGGUGGGGAUGACGUCAAAUCAUCAUGCCCCUUAUGAUUUGGGCUACACACGUGCUACAAUGGACAAUACAAAGGGCAGCGAAAUCGCGAGGUCAAGCAAAUCCCAUAAAGUUGUUCUCAGUUCGGAUUGUAGUCUGCAACUCGACUACAUGAAGCUGGAAUCGCUAGUAAUCGUAGAUCAGCAUGCUACGGUGAAUACGUUCCCGGGUCU